UUUUUAAGGAAUUUAAAUGUACGCGUAUCAUAACGCCUUGUAGGAAUUUUCUGUACAAAAAUCGUUUAAAGUUAUAUGGGGUUGUCGUAAGAAAAAUAACGUGACCUGACGAAAUUUGCAGAAUUAAUAGAUAUAUUUAUUAAUGGAACACGUAGAUGCGAUUUGAGCAUCCCCCACGACUGAAAGAUUAAUCUUUUCGCUCUGGAUACGUCAUAGAGGAACAAUCGAAAGUAUAAAAUAUAAAGCUACAAAUUGUUAAGCUUUAUAAUUAUCAGAACGACAUAUGAAUCGUUAUGUAUCUUCCGCUUGUCAAAUUUAUUAUACGAGGAGCAUUAUACUAACUAUGUUAACCAAUAGGUGAAUAACUGUAUCCAAAAUCCAUACGACUCGUUUUAAAAUUUGGAAAACGACAUAGUUGUUGAAGCACAUCGAAUAAAAAUGUUGCCGUGCAAGGUAACAUGAAAGACAACGUGCAUACGAGCAUUGUUUAUAAUCUUGGAUUGCAUGAAAAUAUAAUAUUGUAGCGCUGGAUGAUUACGUUACGGUUUUCUCGUUAUAAUUUUCAUGAAAUUAUGAAUUUGCAUGAAGAUCAACAGUCUGUUCAUUAGUGCUAUUAACAGGAGAUAAUUAAUGAGGAACACGGAAUAUUUCUAGUAUUUUAGUUUCGUGUUUGAUGAAUCUUCCUUUUUUGGAUACAAGACUUGACGAGUUAAAAGUGUUUCUCUUAUUUUACUCUUUUAUGUGAUUCUUGACUCUGAAAAUGGAACACUUGUAGUACACUAUGCAGUGAAAUGGUGAUAAUUAAUUAACAGUUUUUACUAAUAAAGUUAGAAUAUGGCAAAAAACUAUGACAAAUGAAAAUGCUAUGACAAUCGCGGUUUACCUCUGUUGUACGAAUGUUAGUUUGUUUGUUCUCUUUAUUAGGAAAAGUUCAGUUAUAAUUUAA
This is a long non-coding RNA of Bombus impatiens (common eastern bumble bee), 946 nucleotides long. RefSeq lists it as uncharacterized. The transcript has 2 exons. NCBI's taxonomy places the organism in Eukaryota, Metazoa, Arthropoda, Insecta, Hymenoptera, Apidae. The record is from RefSeq and is a predicted model, not a curated record.